AUUAUUUGUUGCUGACUCAGCACUCUAUAUGCAAUUUUAAAUCAGCUAGCUAGCUAGCUACAUUAGUUCUAGCAACUCUUCAAUCUAUGGUUCUAGUGAGGCAGAGCUCAUGUCAAUGAUUCUUCCAGAGACUAGACUCAUGCAUAUAGAUCUACACUACUGUGGACUAGACUCAUCUACUUGUAAGAAGGUAGUACUGUACUGUAUGUAGGUGGCUGUUGAUUAUGUCAAGAAUUGCCAGCAUGAACUCGUGAGCAUCUUCUUGGUUUAUACCUGUUUGGAGCGUGGUAUGACUAUCCUAUAUAGCCGAAUGUCUUUGUCUAUCGCUAUAUAGGGUUGGACAGAAGGGUUAUGGCUGCCAGUGAUGCAUCUCAAUAAAAAACUGAGAGUUUUCAGCUGAGAGUUUCCAGAGGAAGAAACGUGGGAUACAUGCAGCCUCACUAUACAUGAUAACUUUUCACUUCACUUCACUUCCCUGAACAUAAUUUCUGUUACAAGUUUUACAUCAAAUGUGCAUUAAUAGUCUCUGUACCAUGACUGGUAUAAUCAAUGAAACUUGGAAGCAAAGCAUGUGUUUCAAAUGU
Halichondria panicea is the source of this 584-nucleotide long non-coding RNA. RefSeq lists it as uncharacterized. The record is from RefSeq and is a predicted model, not a curated record. The transcript is spliced from 3 exons. Lineage: Eukaryota; Metazoa; Porifera; Demospongiae; Suberitida; Halichondriidae.